CAAAUAUAUUUCCCAUAUAUAGAGCUAAGCGGAAACAUAUAAAUUAUAGCAUCUGACCAAUGAGAAUUUCGCGUCACGAUUUGAGACGCAGAUAUUCAAAUUCAUUAGUCAUCGAUGCAGGCUCUCAAUUCAGCUUGAGAGCCUGUUCGCAGGCUAUUAUGUACUGUUUAAUAAACGAGCAGGAGUGUUUUAUUAUGUUUAAAGCCACGAGCGCGCAGCGCGAGUGGCUUUAGACCUAAUAAAACACGACCUGCGAGUUUAUUAAACGGCUUCAACCGAAUUAGUAGUCUUUAUAUAAAGAAUACUAUUGAGGAUACGACUACAAUAGAUACUGCCUUAUUAUAGUAUUCUUUAUAUAAAGAAUACUAAUUAUGAGUGUUUUAAUCAGGUUUAAAGCCACUGCACGUGACAAAUUAUGGUUGACAUGAUUUGCCAAUAAGCUUAUGAAUGAUUAAUGAGUGUUUGAAAUAUCAAAUAAAGAUCGGCCGCUCAUGUUGUAACUAGUACUUAUUAAUAUUACGUUUUUUGUUAUUAUUUACUAAACGGAACAUAUUAUAAGUAUACUUUAAAGUAUAACUUAUCGAAUAUUGUUAAGAAAGAUCCGCGGCCGUACGUAGCUGUUGCGGAAAUCCUUCUUUGAUUUAUAUAUAUAAUUAAUUUGAUGUUUUUUGGUUACAUGCAAAGUUAGAUAAAUUAAAAAUUAAAUUAAUAAUCACGAAGUUCUCCAGAACGUUUGCCUGCCUGAAAAGGUAGACAAGGCGAAGGUUCUAUUUUGAAACAAGAAACAAACAUCUACAGUUCAGUUCACAAUCUACAUGCACACAACAUAAUAUUUCCCAUUUAAUUAUCUUGAAACGACACCAUCUCCUUCAUUCAUGAAUUUUAACAAACAUACUGUAAUAAACUGUUGUGAAUUUCUGCGAAAACAAUAUUACAGUAUAUUUGCUUUUGCGGUUUACGAAGCAUUAUCACGAUUGCCCCACGAAAACACGAGAAAGCGGAAAUACGUCACAAAACGUCAUCAAUCCAUUGUUCUGCUGUGAACAAACAAGCACGGAAUUCGAAAAUCUCGAAUUUUCCACCACAUACGUCGCGGACGCCUGGGACCGAUGAAAUUAGUAUGCUGCCUCUACGAGGCAACAUACAGUACUGCUCAGAAGUAACCUAAUGAAAAACGCGUUCUGAACGCGUUCGAGAAGACCAAAUAUAUUUCCUUUUCUUGGGCUUUUGUAUUGGUCGGAUAAUGCGAGCUAGACGAAUUUGAGUUGACUGUGUUUUCAUUUAUAGUAUUCGGAAUUUUCCGAAGAAACUCGAAGCUUCAAAGAGAAAUAACACGAGUUUCAGAACGCAUUCAAGAACGCGUUCGGCACGCGUUCAGGAAGGUGUUCCGAACGCGUCCAGGAAGGUGUUCCGAACGCGUCCAGGAAGGUGUUUCGAACGCGUCCAGGAAGGUGUUCCGAACGCGUUCUCGAAGGUGUUCGGAACGCGUUCUCGAAGGUGUUCCGAAAGCGUCUUGGAACGCGUUCCGAACGCGUUCGCAGCAUUAGGUUACUUCUGAGCAGUACUGUACUGCUGCCUCUACGAGGCAACAUACAAUAUUCACACGCACACCGAGAUAUGAAAUGAUUUGUUCACAUAUAGAUGAAGAAUUGACUUCAUGCACAUGCACACUAUUUAUAUGGAG
This is a non-coding RNA of Paramuricea clavata, 1684 nucleotides long. The record is from the annotation of a GenBank genome assembly. Lineage: Eukaryota; Metazoa; Cnidaria; Anthozoa; Malacalcyonacea; Plexauridae.